Molecule: ribosomal RNA, 245 nt
Filed under: uncultured Anaerobacterium sp.
Lineage: Bacteria; Bacillati; Bacillota; Clostridia; Eubacteriales; Oscillospiraceae
Description: partial 16S ribosomal RNA
Rfam family: Bacterial small subunit ribosomal RNA
Source: RNAcentral
UACGUAGGUGGCGAGCGUUGUCCGGAAUUACUGGGUGUAAAGGGCGCGCAGGCGGGGGAAUAAGUCAGAUGUGAAAACCCGGGGCUCAACUCCGGGAAUGCACCUGAAACUAUUUUUCUUGAGUGCCGGAGAGGGAAGCGGAAUUCCUGGUGUAGCGGUGAAAUGCGUAGAUAUCAGGAGGAACACCGGUGGCGAAGGCGGCUUUCUGGACGGUAACUGACGCUGAGGCGCGAAAGCGUGGGUAG